RNAcentral lists this long non-coding RNA (1075 nucleotides) under Homo sapiens (human). Its description in RNAcentral is "HSALNT0265794". Lineage: Eukaryota; Metazoa; Chordata; Mammalia; Primates; Hominidae. The record is from RNAcentral.
CUAGGGGGUGCAUAGGAGGAGCCUCCUCACAUUCAGGAAGGAGGUGUGGAACAGAGGCUCUUCCCAGGGCUCUUUCUGCCUCUGGAUGUUGGUGUUGAUGAUGUGAUGUCUGGAGCUGUUGCAACCACCUUGCUACCAGCUUGAGGCUGAAGCUUCAAGAACAGGAAGCCCCCAUAUUGUAUGAGCCUCAGGCCCUGCAGCACCUGGUCUGCCUGUGAUCAUGAAGAGAGUCCACCUGCCCAAGGAAAGACUGUGCCGUCUCAUGCUUCCCAGGCCUCCGAUGCACUCAUCCCUCCUUCCAGAGUGAUUUCUCUAUGCUGGGUGAGGGGUUUCCAACCUCUGCAGUUUCCAUCUUUUACCUCUGAUCUGGUGCAUGAUUUUUUCUAAAGGAACUCUUAGAAGACACUUAACAUGACCUGAUCAGGAACCUUCUUUAGCUUCUUCCAAGGACACAGCUCAGUGCCCAGAAGAUGGACCUGUUCACUCUCAGCUUCCCCGCAUCCUGCUCUGUUCCAAGGGAGCAGACACACAGGGAAAAGUCGGGGGAGUCCUGUGCAGAACCCCGACGUCACACCAUCUUCCCCAAGGAAGAUAGAAUUGUGUCAGAAAGGGACUGUUUUUCAAAAAAUCAGCUGUUCAUUGUGUGCCUGGAUGGUGGUCCCUUUGGUCAAUAAACCCUUCAUCCACAUGGAAAAUUAUGAGCACUUCCGUGCAAGAAAGACUUUGCCCCCAACCACAACAUCUGUGCACCUGCUGCUCUGCCCUCAGCCGCUCUCUCCCAGUAGAAGCCUGAAUCACUAAGUGCACCCUCCACUGAGAGGAUGAGGCCCAGAUUUGACUCCCCCGCUCAUGGCUGCCUGGGCGCUGCUACACUUCCCACAUCACAGACUCAGUUAAAUCCCAUGGGGGUGGAGAGGAAAUGGAAGCAGAUGCUGCUCACUCUCCCUGCCAGACCAUUCUCCUCCUGGCUUCCUAGGUGCAGCACGGUGGGUGCUGGCCUCAGGGCUGUUUCAGCAGCUUCCUCUUUGUCAUUUCCCUCUCAGUGUUCAUGGCAGCCACCCUUGGUCAAUGCAGC